UGUCAUUUCUAUUUAAGGCAGUAGCUGAGUGAAGAUAAAAAUAGUAUCGUGUUUGUUAUGAGCUAAAAGACUGUACGAUUGUGUGUGAUAGAGUUUCUCUCAAGCUAGCCUGUAGAUCAAUUCAAGUACUGCUGCUUAGUGAUAACCAUGAUUACCUUGACUGUGAUAUGCCUACUAACUUUGCAAUCAAAUUCUCCUCUGUGGAGUACAGAUGCUGUGCUCAGUCCCCCUCCGCCCACACUCACACACACACACACUCUCACACAGUACUACGGCAUCAUCCCCAUUAUAGCGAUCACAGUCAUCCUUCUAGUGGCCUCGCUCAGUCUACUGUUCUGCUGCAUUAUAUUCUGUUAUGCCAGAAGGCAAUACACUACAUCGAUGUCAAUACAGUAGAACCUCGAUUAUCCGGACACCUUGGUUCCAGAAGCAGGCCGGAUAAGUGAAUAUGCCGGAUAAUCGAAGAGAUAAACUACACCUUGAUCCACCCACUUUAUUGAUAAACAGCGGUGCCACAUGGUUGUAUGCGCAUGCGCAGAAGAUAAGCAGGCAUGUCUCCAUGGUAACAGCUGCAACGCGCAUGCGCGUUUGAGGGACACGCCCAUUUUCUGAUCUGAUAACAAGAAAACUGCUUAGCCGGAUAAUCGAGGUUCCGGAUAAUGGAGGGCCGGAUAAUCGAGGUUCUACUGUAAUGAGACAUUCCACUACAACUCAGCCUAUCCUGCCGACCAUAGUAGCGUACAGAGACGAGGCCAGUAGUGAGGACGAUGGGAGGUCAGCUAGUGUGUGUUGUGUGUUGAGGGAAACUAACGCUUACAGUGAACACUUGAAGAGAUUCAGCAUCGAACACGGACUGGAUGAUAAUGCAACUCGGACCAGCGACUUAUUUGAAUUUCACGCCUACCCACACCGUCCACACUACAACAGUACAUCGGAACUUUAGCUACUUAUAAUUAUAUAAACACAAUGUCAUUCAUAUAUAAUCAUAUUAAAAACAACUAUGUCAGGUUUCAAUAUAA
This is a long non-coding RNA of Halichondria panicea, 1019 nucleotides long. RefSeq lists it as uncharacterized. The record is from RefSeq and is a predicted model, not a curated record. Lineage: Eukaryota; Metazoa; Porifera; Demospongiae; Suberitida; Halichondriidae. The transcript is spliced from 2 exons.